Molecule: ribosomal RNA, 253 nt
Filed under: uncultured bacterium
Lineage: Bacteria
Description: partial 16S ribosomal RNA
Rfam family: Bacterial small subunit ribosomal RNA
Source: RNAcentral
UACGUAGGGACCAAGCGUUGUCCGGAAUCAUUGGGCGUAAAGAGCGUGUAGGCGGCUUGUUAAGUCUUGCGUGAAAUCUCGGGGCUCAACCCCGAGCGGUCGUGAGAAACUGGCAGGCUAGAGUGCGGGAGAGGAGAGUGGAAUUCCUGGUGUAGCGGUGAAAUGCGCAGAUAUCAGGAGGAACACCAAUAGCGAAGGCAGCUCGCUGGGACGGUACUGACGCUGAGGCGCGAAAGCGUGGGGAGCGAACAGG